GCUAAUUCAGUGGUCAUUGCAGGAACAAAUAUUAAUGGCCUGCAAAGAAUACAUCAAUCUGCAUAGUCAGGAUGGAAAGAAGGCAGAAAGGCAAGCAAAAGUAAGAGAGAGAGCAAAAACGAAGGCAAAGAGGAGGGAUUGAGGGAAGGAAGGGAGGGGGGAGGGAGAGGGGGGAAGGAAGGAAGGAAGGAAGGAAAAUAAAGAAUAAAAAAACUUUUAAGAAAUUUUAGACAGCAUUGAUGAGAAAAGAUAUAUACCUACAAAUAACCUAGCAAAACUUUUGGACUACUAAAAUAAAAGGAAAUAUUAUGUAUUUUCAAAUAAAAGUAUUUUUAAAAUAAGAAAGACAAAAUAUUUGGAUUAAGAUAAGAAAUAUCAUACUAGAAUUGAGAGGAUGGUCAGAUAACAACUAUAAGUUGCUGAGGAAAAACUACUUCAAGCUAAGAACUGUAUCCCUUGUCAAGGUAUCACUCACCUACUACAGUAAAAUAAAUAGAUAUGGACCUGUCAUUAGUAAAUUAAUGUAUCACACAACUAAGAGGAUAAA
Molecule: long non-coding RNA, 547 nt
Filed under: Pan troglodytes (chimpanzee)
Lineage: Eukaryota; Metazoa; Chordata; Mammalia; Primates; Hominidae
Description: long non-coding RNA NONPTRT006860
Source: RNAcentral